UGAGGAAUAUUGCGCAAUGGGGGAAACCCUGACGCAGCAACGCCGCGUGGGUGAAGAAGGCCUUCGGGUCGUAAAGCCCUUUCGGACGGGACGAACGCUCCGCGGUGACAACCCGCGGAGUCUGACGGUACCGUAAGAAGAAGCACCGGCUAACUCCGUGCCAGCAGCCGCGGUAAUACGGAGGGUGCAAGCGUUGUUCGGAAUUACUGGGCGUAAAGCGCGUGUAGGCGGCCUUGCAAGCCAGACGUGAAAGCCCUCGGCUUAACCGGGGAAGUGCGUCUGGAACUGCUCGGCUCGAGUACGGGAGAGGGAGGCGGAAUUCCCAGUGUAGAGGUGAAAUUCGUAGAUAUUGGGAGGAACACCGGUGGCGAAAGCGGCCUCCUGGACCGAUACUGACGCUGAGACGCGAAAGCGUGGGGAGCAAACAGGAUUAGAUACCCUGGUAGUCCACGCUGUAAACGAUGGGCACUAGGUGUGGGGGGUAUCCACUCCUCCCGUGCCGCAGCUAACGCACUAAGUGCCCCGCCUGGGGAGUACGGCCGCAAGGCUA
RNAcentral lists this ribosomal RNA (550 nucleotides) under uncultured bacterium. Its description in RNAcentral is "bacterial SSU rRNA". It matches the Rfam family "Bacterial small subunit ribosomal RNA", at positions 355 to 896 of the family's 1533-position model. The record is from RNAcentral.